This 48-nucleotide non-coding RNA is filed under the name Chrysochromulina rotalis. The record is from RNAcentral. Lineage: Eukaryota; Haptophyta; Prymnesiales; Chrysochromulinaceae.
UUGGCAUUUGCUCUCGUUCAGCUGCUAUUGCCUUUACGACCGCUGAUC